Molecule: ribosomal RNA, 450 nt
Filed under: uncultured bacterium
Lineage: Bacteria
Description: partial 16S ribosomal RNA
Rfam family: Bacterial small subunit ribosomal RNA
Source: RNAcentral
CCUACGGGGGGCUGCAGUAAGGAAUAUUGGUCAAUGGACGAAAGUCUGAACCAGCCAUCCCGCGUGCAGGAUGAAAGCCCUAUGGGUUGUAAACUGCUUUUAGCAGAGAAGAAAAGCUUUCAUUAAUGAGAGUCUGACGGUAUCUGCAGAAUAAGCACCGGCUAACUCCGUGCCAGCAGCCGCGGUACUACGGAGGGUGCGAGAAUUAUCCGGAAUUACGGGGUUUAAGGGGGAGGUAGAAGGAGGUUGUGAAAGCUUGUCGCUUAACGAUAAAAUUGCCAAGGAUACUGGUACUCUUGAAUUGGGUUGAGGUUAGCGGAAUGUGACAUGUAGCGGUGAAAUGCAUAGAUAUGUCAUGGAACACCGAUUGCGAAGGCAGCUAACUGGGCCUUGAUUGACGCUGAGGCACGAAAGCGUGGGUAGCGAACAGGAUUAGAUACCCCUGUAGUC